Molecule: ribosomal RNA, 491 nt
Filed under: uncultured bacterium
Lineage: Bacteria
Description: partial 16S ribosomal RNA
Rfam family: Bacterial small subunit ribosomal RNA
Source: RNAcentral
AGUGAACGCUGGCGGUAGGCCUAACACAUGCCAGUCGAACGGCAGCACAGUAAGAGCUUGCUCUUACGGGUGGCGAGUGGCGACGGGUGAGGAAUACAUCGGAAUCUACUUUUUCGUGGGGGAUAACGUAGGGAAACUUACGCUAAUACCGCAUACGACCUACGGGUGAAAGCAGGGGAUCUUCGGACCUUGCGCGAUUGAAUGAGCCGAUGUCGGAUUAGCUAGUUGGCGGGGUAAAGGCCCACCAAGGCGACGAUCCGUAGCUGGUCUGAGAGGAUGAUCGGCCACACUGGAACUGAGACACGGUCCAGACUCCUACGGGAGGCAGCAGUGGGGAAUAUUGGACAAUGGGCGCAAGCCUGAUCCAGCCAUACCGCGUGGGUGAAGAAGGCCUUCGGGUUGUAAAGCCCUUUUGUUGGGAAAGAAAAGCAGCAGGUUAAUACCCCGCUGUUCUGACGGUACCCAAAGAAUAAGCACCGGCUAACUUCGUG